GCUCCCUUCCUGCCGAGGAACACGAUGGCUGCGUACGCGGUGAUCGCCGCGGAGGACGCGGCGCAGCUGGUGUCCCUGCUGGCGCCCCUGCUCGUCGUGGCGCUCGUCGCCGCGGUGGUCGCGUCGGCGUGGGCGGACGGGGCUGUGCGCGUGGCCGCGGCGCAGGUGGACGCGCAGGCCGGGGAGUGGGCGCGGUACGUGUUCGGCUCGGAGGACGCGGAGCUCGCCGCGCCGCCGAGCCCGCUCCCGGUGGCGUGGCGAGGGGAGCACGGCUGAAGGCCUGAGGUAGUAGUCUACUAAUGUGGUGCGUGGAAUGCAGGCGGCAUAAUUCGCUGAUGCCUUAGACGUGUGCGAUGCUUAUAGUUGUCAAAGCAUCCUCUCUUCGUCUCGUUCACGGAUCAAAUAUUAUGGAUCCAUGUUCUCGCAAAGUGUCAUUAUAUUGUGAUAGUGUCUUACCAUUUGAUUGAUGGAUGUACUACUACCUGAUGACUGUCAAUUAGUGAAAGAAAAAGUAAUGAUGAUGAAUUAAUGAUUUACUAGCAAUAGCAACUACCAAGGCCUUCACUCAAAUCACUUUACAAUAACUUUUUAUUUACAUCAGGAUUCCCUCCAAACACCCAGAAAACUCUAAGCUCGUCAGUCGUCACCCAGAAUUCUCUACGGCUCGUCGCCCAGAAAACUCUACACGGAGCAGCUGGCGAUCAGCCGAUCUCGAUCACUCUACAGCUCGUUCACGUCGUCCUCGUCCGCGGCGCCGGCCGACCCGCCCGCGCCGCCUCCGCUCUUCUCGUACACCUGCUUGAUGAUGGGCCCGCACACCUCCUCCACCUCCCUGAGCUUCUCCUCGAAGUCGUCCUUCUCCGCCGCCCGCCCCGCGGCGCCGUCCUGCUCCUCCAGCCACUCCAGCGCCUCCGCCAGGGCGGCCUCCAUCCUCUCCCUGUCCUCCUCGCCGAUCUUCCCCGCCAUGCCGCCGGCUCCGUCCUUCACCGUGGCGCGCAUCCGGUACACGUAGUUCUCGAGGCGGUUGCGCGCAUCGACGCGCUCCCGGACGCGGCGGUCCUCCUCCGCGAACUCCUCGGCCUCGCGCACCAUCCGGUCGAUCUCCUCCUGGCUG
RNAcentral lists this long non-coding RNA (1114 nucleotides) under Setaria italica (foxtail millet). RNAcentral's name for it is "long non-coding RNA (SITA_LNC006516)". Lineage: Eukaryota; Viridiplantae; Streptophyta; Magnoliopsida; Poales; Poaceae. The record is from RNAcentral.